RNAcentral lists this ribosomal RNA (257 nucleotides) under uncultured Stenotrophomonas sp. RNAcentral's name for it is "partial 16S ribosomal RNA". It matches the Rfam family "Bacterial small subunit ribosomal RNA", at positions 96 to 355 of the family's 1533-position model. Lineage: Bacteria; Pseudomonadati; Pseudomonadota; Gammaproteobacteria; Lysobacterales; Lysobacteraceae. The record is from RNAcentral.
UGGCGGACGGGUGAGGAAUACAUCGGAAUCUACUCUGUCGUGGGGGAUAACGUAGGGAAACUUACGCUAAUACCGCAUACGACCUACGGGUGAAAGCAGGGGACCUUCGGGCCUUGCGCGAUUGAAUGAGCCGAUGUCGGAUUAGCUAGUUGGCGGGGUAAAGGCCCACCAAGGCGACGAUCCGUAGCUGGUCUGAGAGGAUGAUCAGCCACACUGGAACUGAGACACGGUCCAGACUCCUACGGGAGGCAGCAGCU